UACGUAGGCUGCGAGCGUUGUCCGGAAUUAUUGGGCGUAAAGGGCUCGUAGGCGGUUUGUCGCGUCGGGAGUGAAAUCAUCUGGCUUAACUGGGUGCUUGCUUUCGAUACGGGCAGACUAGAGGUAUGCAGGGGAGAACGGAAUUCCUGGUGUAGCGGUGAAAUGCGCAGAUAUCAGGAGGAACACCGGUGGCGAAGGCGGUUCUCUGGGCAUGAUCUGACGCUGAGGAGCGAAAGUGUGGGGAGCGAACAGG
This 253-nucleotide ribosomal RNA is filed under the name uncultured bacterium. RNAcentral's name for it is "partial 16S ribosomal RNA". It matches the Rfam family "Bacterial small subunit ribosomal RNA", at positions 524 to 776 of the family's 1533-position model. The record is from RNAcentral.